AGGCCUCCUCUUCUUGCGCAUCAAGUAGUUACUAACUAACAAACCCUAAGCUAGUUAUAUAUAAAUCUAAACAUCUAAAACUAAAAAAAA
This 90-nucleotide non-coding RNA is filed under the name Paramoeba aestuarina. Lineage: Eukaryota; Discosea; Flabellinia; Dactylopodida; Paramoebidae. The record is from RNAcentral.